RNAcentral lists this ribosomal RNA (484 nucleotides) under Edgbastonia rugosa. RNAcentral's name for it is "partial 16S ribosomal RNA". It matches the Rfam family "Bacterial large subunit ribosomal RNA", at positions 1841 to 2586 of the family's 2925-position model. Lineage: Eukaryota; Metazoa; Mollusca; Gastropoda; Littorinimorpha; Tateidae. The record is from RNAcentral.
AAAUAUAAAGAGUCGANCCUGCCCAGUGAUANAUAUUUAACGGCCGCGGUACUCUGACCGUGCAAAGGUAGCAUAAUCAUUUGCCUUAUAAUUGAAGGCUUGUAUGAAUGGUUUNACGAGAACAAAGCUGUCUCUUUUUAAUUCUAUAAAACUUGAUUUUUAGGUGAAGAAGCCUAAAUAAAAUUGAAAGACAAGAAGACCCUAUCGAGCUUUAAAANNUUUUAUUANUAUAUANUNNCUNAAAUAGACUAGCUAUNAUAAAAGAUUUUAGUUGGGGCGACUAAGGAACAAAAAAGCUUCCAUUNNUNANAUUNAAGGCAAAUUNGCUAUGAUCCAAAAUUUUUGAUUAAAANAAUUAGUUACCGUAGGGAUAACAGCAUAAUCUUUUUUGAGAGNUCUNAUCGAAAAAAAGGUUUGUGACCUCGAUGUUGGACUAGAAUAUCCUAAANGAUGCAGAAGUCUUUAANGGUUGGUCUGUUCGACC